UCAGGUUAGGGUAAGGGUUAGGGUUAGGAGAUUCAUAGGUGUGAUAAUGAUCUGUAAUGUUCUGUUCGAUGAGCAGAGCAGACAGCCCGCAUUUGGCUUAAGCGUGUGAUGACGUUUCCAGCUUUUCUAGCCAAUCAGAGGCAAAGGAGGCAGGUAUUUCCCCUACCAUUCUACAAAAAAAUAUCACACCUGGGUGAUACGCUGUUUGAGCCGAGCAUCACCACAGCAACUCUUGGCGACUCUCCCACGGAAUGCACGCAAUGCUACUGUGCAAGUGGUAGAGUGCGUACAAUGCUACUGCAUAAUGUUGGUUUCAGGAAAUGGAGAGAAAAGGCGGAGCCAAGUUGUCCAUAAUAUAUAGAGUCUAUGUUUAAUACCAUCACUUAUACACUCAGUAUCAUAAAGCCCAUUUUUAUCAUCACAGUUGUUGCAUAACUCUUCAAAUUAGGGUUUUUUCUGGCUUUCUCUCGAUGGCAUGGUCAUUUACGCGCAACCCAUUAAACAAAAAACAGGAUAAAGUCACUCUGAUUAACCUUACCACGUUAUGCCAUGCGGCCAUUGCCCACAUUUAAGAACAUAUAAACAGUUUUUUAACCUUUUUAAGAGUUGUUUUGUCUUUUUUCAGCAGGGGGAGUCUGAGUUCUGAUUGUCUAAAAACACCUCGAGGAAUCAGCUAGACUGAAGAGGUCACGUAAUGAAAAUAAAAGAAUUAAAAUGUUUAGUUAGUUGUCCGCUAGGUGAUACAAUUGCUGCACAUGGACACGUUUCCUGUUUUUAAUUUGAAGGCGGCAUCCUCGUACUUGCGGAGACAAUCUGCCGAGCUUGAUAACGUUGAAGUCGAAACCAAAAGCUGCGCUCUUGAGAGAGAGAGAGAGAGAGAGAGAGAGAGAGAGAGAGAGAGAGAGAGAGAUCUAAACCACCUCAUUCAGUUAAAAUCCUCCACUUUUUAGUGUAUCAGGAACUUUUGUCAUUCUUUCCUCCCGUAUAAGGCAGACAUAGACUUUGGUGACAGUUGGUGGUAUUGUGGGGUUGUGAAUGAACAUUGUGAACAGUGGCGGUUCUAGACUAAAUUACUCCCCGGGCGAGACCCCCUCCAAGCGUGCGCGCACACACACACACACACACACACACACACACACACACACACACACACACACACACACAAAGAGAUAAAAUUUUGAACAGAUAGUUUUGUAUUAUUAUGUAGUAUUAUUAUGAUUAUAACAACAAAAAUAAAAUAUUUCUCAAUUGCAGAAAUCCUUCAAUAGAAAAAAAAACAAUCCUGAGGGCCAUUUUAAGAAGGGCCCCCAGAUCCUGAGGUUUUCUGAAGUGUUGAGGUUUACAAAAAAGCUGAUAUCUCGGUCUCUGUAGUAGAUAGAAACUAAAUUCAAAAAGUAUUUGAGAGCUUAUACAUGUGGCUUUCAAGAAAGCUAACUAUUAGUUUUGUGAACCUUCAUCACAUUUUUGAAAACCUUGAGCAAACAAACUUAAAUGAAAUAAAGCGUCUGUAUAAAUAAAAGUAAGGGCUCUGCACUGGAGAAUGACAAAUAAUUUGCUUUCUGUAAAACAAGUGGCAGUCAUGAUAAAGUGUCCAUCAAUACAAAUGUAAAUAUUAAAAAAGUGUUGAAAGGGUAUACAGCUGCCCUAGUAUAGUUCCAGUACAAAAGCAGCUCUAAAAACUAAAAAUAUAUAAAUACGUGGCUGACAGUGUGUUCAUGUCAGUGUUCACCCAAAAUCAUGCAACACUCACAGAAAACGCCGAUAGUGUGAGCCAAAUCACUCCAUAUGAAGAGGUUGUUCACACUGCUGGAUGUUUCUCCUCCAAAGCUGCUCUCUGCCUCCAUCAUUGUUUACUUUACUCAUGAAGCACGUAGCAAGAUGAGCAUGAAUCCGAGCGCUUUAUUCGCCUAUCAGAGGCAGACAGGUAUAAUGAUUUGAUUCACCACGACUCCAGAAAUGAGCCAGAAAAAACUACAGAAUGUCACAAAAUGACGUAUCCGCGCUCCCAGCUUGAAGGCUAGAAAUGCGCAGCCGCGCUCCCGGCUUGGAAAGCUGAUAUGCGGACAUACUGUCCCGGUUUAAAUGGGUAAAGUGAUUGAUGCUGAUGACGACAAGGCCAUUGAGCCGUUCCUGAGACAUGGUUGACCUUUGGUACGACUUUAUCAACUUCAGUUUUGGGAAACUCCUCUCUUCUUGAGCCACCGUGACUGGCAGAGUGAGAGCAAUCCUGAGAGCAGAGCUGUCCCCCGCGACCCUCUCCCCGUUUCGUCUCAUACAGUCUGUCAGCCUCUGUGCGGCACCUUCGCAGCAAGCAGGGGCGCCUACAGCAGCAGGGGGCGCCAAUUUGACAACAAGAGUGGAUACUAAACCGCUUUGCGGUGCAGAUUUAUUAUAUUUUUCUUUCUUUUUUGGAAAUGCUCGUGCCGUCCCCCCAUGAGUCAUGACACAAAUGCUGCCCCGGGCAGCUGCCCUGUUCGCCCGUGCCUAGAUUGUGAAUAUGUGGACUAUUUAAUACGGAGCUAAUUUAAGAAAACAAAAUGUCAGCUUCAAAAAAUAAAAUCUUCCCCUACUUGACCGCAGAGACGGCUAAGAGCGCAGUUUGGGGAUCUAAGGAUGAAGUUAUAUCAAGCAGGAAUUAAAAAUGGUCUGAUCUAUCCUGCCACGCUGAUUAUGACUUUUAAAGGGAGAGAGAAGUAGUCUCAAACCAAUACUGUCUGCCUGCAGUGAAGAAGGUGAAUGAUGUGAGAAUUAAACUAAAAGCUGUCACAGCUCAAUAAUGUGUCAAGCAUGAAAUCCUCAAGCCAGUCAACAUCUAUCCCAAAG
Molecule: long non-coding RNA, 2823 nt
Filed under: Xyrichtys novacula (pearly razorfish)
Lineage: Eukaryota; Metazoa; Chordata; Actinopteri; Labriformes; Labridae
Source: RNAcentral